UUAUAAGAGACAGCAGCAGCCACGGUAAUACGAAGGGUGCAAGCGUUACUCGGAAUUACUGGGCGUAAAGCGUGCGUAGGUGGUGGUUUAAGUCCGUUGUGAAAGCCCUGGGCUCAACCUGGGAAUUGCAGUGGAUACUGGGUCACUAGAGUGUGGUAGAGGAUAGUGGAAUUUCCGGUGUAGCAGUGAAAUGCGUAGAGAUCGGGAGGAACAUCCAUGGCGAAGGCAGCUACCUGGACCAACACUGACACUGAGGCACGAAAGCGUGGGGAGCAAACAGGAUUAGAUACCCCGGUAGUCCCUGUCUCUUAUAC
This 314-nucleotide ribosomal RNA is filed under the name uncultured bacterium. RNAcentral's name for it is "partial 16S ribosomal RNA". It matches the Rfam family "Bacterial small subunit ribosomal RNA", at positions 499 to 807 of the family's 1533-position model. The record is from RNAcentral.